AAAUUACCUGAAGAAACUAUUGCGGCGGUUGAAGCCGAGCCGACUUGCGGCCCCGCCCCUGAUUCUGCUUCGGUGGACCUAAGCUCCGCCCCCACAGCCACAGAAGAGCAGCCUGCAAUGGAAGAGAAAAAGCCGGACGACGAGGUUGUUGGUCGGGUAGCAUCCGGCGCAGAAACGUCCAAUCGGAAUGUCUCCGAGAACCAGCAGCUCUUAGAAGCCCGGCCCGAACCCGCGAGGGAGCCGGCCGCAAACCAUUGGAAGCCCUUCGAGGAGAAACCGCCGGCAGCCGGGGGAGGUCGCGUCGAUCCUCGGACGGCGUCCGACCCCGCCGCGGUCACCGAAUCACAAGUGGAGGAGCUGCCCGGCGGCGGGAGGGGAGGGGAGGGGGCCGCGCCCGCUUGCCAGACCGCGAGGCGUCGAUUACAAAAACCCAAACCCAAACCCAACGUAUCACAGGCGCCGAGGACUGCGCGGUGCAAACCUGAAACCACAGCGGACCCUGUCCCCGCCGUGCGGCUCGGCGAGACGCCCCCCGACGGGACGUCAGGGCCCCGGCCCCCUGAAAACGCGGCAGCAGUGGAAGAAGCGACGCCACCUUGCAGUGGCGCCCGUCCCGAAGAGCCGAGCCGAAGUAAAAGUGCUGCUUCAGUGACAGAACCAUCGCCGGAAUUGCGCUCUCCCCCUAAAACCACGGAGGACAUGUCUUCAACCGAGGAGCAGAAGACGGACGCCGGACGUGGACUCGGCUCGGGACAGAGUGUUCCCCUGCGCAGGCAACGCUUCGCUAAAGUCAAACCCAACGUGGGGUCGUCCCCCAGAGCUGCACGCGCUAAACAGCAGUCACGUGACAUUAGCAAACCCCCAGAGCGGUGCCACGCGGACCCCCCCUCAGAGACUGUGCCCCCAUCCAAGACGCCGUCACCAGCUGGUCCAACACAAAGCACUCAGCGGCCACUUGCUAGGGAAGACUGCGAGGCCCGCAGUCAGGAGGAGAAUCAACCAGCUGCCCCAAACACUGAGUCACCCGACUCAAGAAAAGCCCCUCGGGCUGUUCGCGGGCGGCUCAUUAGACCCAAGCCCAGUCUGGCUCGCAGCGGCCGGCCUCCACUCCCCCGGCAAGUUCCAGAGACAAAAGCAGCAGCGAGAGAUUUCGACGGCCCCGUUUGCCACAGUGUGUCUGAACUGCGGCCCGGCGUCCCGGGCCCAGCAGAGGGCGCUGUCGUGCAAUGCGGUGACCGGAGCUCUUCUCAAAAUGACUCCGGCUCGACCCCGAGCAGCCUGACGCAAGUCACCCAACACGACCCCCCCGCAGACUUUGCUGGUUCCUCUCUGGGUUGUUUGACUCGAGCUCCCGACGGUUGUACCCAGGAUGCCUCCACGUCAAUCACAGGGGAGACGCAGACUCCAAAUCUCUCAGUAUUUCCAGACUUGCUGUUGAAGGAGGUGCCCAGAGAUGAAGACGAACCGUUCUUCAUCCUCUCUCUGACUGAGAUCCCCGUCACGGUGCCAGAACCCCUCCCCUAUCGCCCUGCAGCUGAGCUAGAGAGGCCCGUGGCCGCCCUUCCCCCUCAGGGGGUCGUCCCGUCCGUCCCGCACUCGUGCGCGGAAAAGGAUUUUCUGCUCCCACAGCCUUCGGCCAUCGGCGUUCCUGGGGAGAGGUCGGCGGCGGCUGCGUGCCUGGAGGGGAGCGGCGAGACGGGCCUCGUCCGUCAGGACGCCGGGGCGUGCGCGGGUUUGAUCGUGGAGGAUCCAGCGGCGGCAGAUGGUAGAGAGCAUUAUUUUAAGCUGUCAUGUAAACCAACGGCCGAUGUCACAAUGCUGAUUGUGCGUGUUGAUUGUUUGUACCACAGUGCAUCCGUGCACUGUUAG
This is a long non-coding RNA of Gasterosteus aculeatus (three-spined stickleback), 1869 nucleotides long. The record is from Ensembl. Lineage: Eukaryota; Metazoa; Chordata; Actinopteri; Perciformes; Gasterosteidae.